AGUUUAAAGAAGUGUUUUCUGUUGAAGUUUUGGUACAAGUUCUUUGGAAUAGGACAUCAUAGAGGGUGAGAAUCCCGUAUUUGACCUUAAUUUUUCAACUUUGUGAUACACUUUCAAAGAGUCGGAUUGUUUGGGAAUGCAGUCCAAAAUGGGUGGUAAAUUUCAUCUAAGGCUAAAUAUUGGCGAGAGACCGAUAGCGAACAAGUACCGUGAGGGAAAGAUGAAAAGAACUUUGAAAAGAGAGUUAAAUAGUACGUGAAAUUGUCAAAAGGGAAGCGUUUGGCACCAGUGUUGUUUUUCUAAAAAUCAAUUUAAAAUUUGCUUAUGUUAAGUGUUUUAGACUUAAUCGGCUAUACAUUUAAUUCUUUGUAAAUUUUGAAUGCACUUUUUAGUUAACAAGUCAACAUCAAUUUUUUUUGCUGUAAAAAAGUAAGAGGAAGGUGGCUUGGGAUUCGUUUCAAGUGUUUAUAGCCUCUUGCCCAUGCAGUAGGAGAGAUUGAGGUCUGCAGCAUAGAUCCUUCGGGGCUAGAUGCUUUUGUGCUAGAAGCUAGUAUUAUAUAGACAACUUGUUGAUUAUGUAAUAUAUUAGUUUCUACUCGCUAAAGUUAUUUUACCUAUGCUUAGGAUGUUGACAAAAUGGUUUUAAACGACC
Molecule: ribosomal RNA, 652 nt
Filed under: uncultured Neocallimastigales
Lineage: Eukaryota; Fungi; Neocallimastigomycota; Neocallimastigomycetes; Neocallimastigales
Description: partial large subunit ribosomal RNA
Rfam family: Eukaryotic large subunit ribosomal RNA
Source: RNAcentral